This 76-nucleotide non-coding RNA is filed under the name Falseniella ignava. RNAcentral describes it as "Facklamia ignava Fluoride sequence". It matches the Rfam family "Fluoride riboswitch aptamer (crcB RNA motif)". RNAcentral also lists the same sequence under 1 other name. The record is from RNAcentral. Lineage: Bacteria; Bacillati; Bacillota; Bacilli; Lactobacillales; Aerococcaceae.
UUGAAGAUAGGAAAUGAGGUUCUUCCUUAGCCGUAUGGCUUAAACUGCUUUGAAUGCUGAUGACUUCUACCUGUUC